Zootermopsis nevadensis is the source of this 1105-nucleotide long non-coding RNA. RefSeq lists it as uncharacterized. The record is from RefSeq and is a predicted model, not a curated record. NCBI's taxonomy places the organism in Eukaryota, Metazoa, Arthropoda, Insecta, Blattodea, Termopsidae.
UAGAGAAAUGUUUUGUUCAACUGUUGUCUAAUCUGCUACUUGCUAGAACGAAGUGGAGGGAACCGGUUGGUUGUUUAUGAAUGUGACGUGUGUGUGUGGUUUGUAUCAUUUAUGUGUUGGAAGAACAAAUUUAAGGUUAGAAACAAGGAUAGAAGUGUACAGGAACAAUCAGUGAUGAAUUUGUGACUAUACAUAACCUAAAAGAAUCUGUUGCAGCACAAAUGUUCUACACGAGGUGUACCUCAUCAACGGGAAAUGGAUGUAGGAACCACACCUGAAAUGAGACUCGGGAAGGUGUCUUUAACCAGAAACGUAUGGGCUGGUCUGGUGAUCCUUCACGUUCUGUAACGGAAGUUGAAUAUGAAGAUGAAGGAUGCUCCACGGACAUCAUUAGUUCAGCUGGACUACUCGGAAGUAUACAAAUUCUGCAUUUGCUUACAAAACACAUGAAGUCACUAUCACAGGAAUCAAACCCUGAAGAAGGAAAUAUUUUGUUGAAACCUCAACUCAAGAUGGUUCUAGAGGCAGACAUGAAGGCCUGCACUCUAACAUGAUCUCCAUAAAAGAGUCCAUGUCAUAUGCAAAAUCGCCAACAUGUAAGAUGGCAUCGUACAUUCCACGUUGAACUUCCUCCUGAAGAUGUGGUAAUGACUUUGCAUUUUCAUUACCCAAAUCACCAAAUAUUGCCAACUGAGGACUCCACGUAGAUUCGUCCGGUGACGUUAUAAACCAAAACAUAUCUGACCAGCCCUGGUCACUGCCGCAAUGGUAAACUGUAAUAUUACACAAGACCAGAUGAUAAGGUAAUUUGUAUGUAGGCUGAAUCGAAAACACAUGUGGCAUAUGUAAAUAUUUCUGUAAUACUUUCAUUUUUAUUCAUUACAACUUAAGAAAACUACUUGAGAACUGUUUGAAAAAAAGCAGAUUUCAAUCACAACCCACUUACCUAAUCUCUAUUUUCCGUGUUAAAAUAUGUAUAGAAUCUGACAAGCAAUAGUUGACACAAAUAUCGCCAAGGAAAAUAAUGUUCAUUCACGGCACGAAAUUUAACUUGCAAUCUCUACAAAUAAAAUGUAGGCACAGAAAACCACGACCAAGUGGUUAA